AUGCCAGCAGUCUGGCACCGAGGAAGGAAAGAAGAGAGGAGUAUUUUGAGAAAGGGGUCUAGGAAGAACCACAGAGGUCUGGGAGUAAAAGGUGUCCGUUGGUGGCUAGUCCCCAGAAGUCUCACAGAGAAGAGCGGGUCUCUGGUGGGCCUGGUCAGUCAGGCUCGAUUGGAGAUACAAGAACUUGAGGAGGAAGGCACGGUGGCCCACACCUUUAAACCCAGCACUUGGGAGGCAGAGGCAGCAGGAUUCACUUUCGGUUCUAGCCAGUCUGACACCAGAGCCCUGUGAGAAGAAGGUCUGGGUAGGCGGAGGCCCCGGGAACUACUAGUGGGAAGCAGACGAGGAGGAAAGGAGCUAAAUGUUUGUGUGCCCAUGAGAUGCCAGCCUGAGCUCCGAGAGCGGCAGCCCAAGGUCUCCCUGACUUUCUGGUGGAGCCUUGUGGAUCUGAUUGCUAAUGGAUGUGCCAGGAGCUGCCCGAAAGGUUCAGAGAGAGAUACUUGUUGCCCAGCAUGAAAUAUUAGACAUUGGUGGAGACAUUUCAUGAAGCCAGACAUAAAACGCCAAAGGAAAUCUAGGGAACUUUCAAGCAGAAGCACCAAAGAAUGGUGGUUAAAAAUGUGUAUCUCAGUAACUGUGGAAUGGAACCCCCUUCCCCAGGUCUCAGCUUCUCACCCACAAAAUUCAGACAAGAGUCAUUCCCAAAUUCCCGGGGUUGUUGUAUGGGAGGCCUGAAACACUAUUUAACACUAUUAAAUGUGUUAGUAAUGUUUUUAAAACGCAUAGAGCAGUGCCUGCUACAUAGCUGCGGAUGGUGUGAUGACUUUGUCAACUUGAUGCAACCUAAAAUCACCUGGAAAAGAAUCUCAGUGAUGGUCUGGCUAUAUUGGCUUGGCCUAUGGGCAUACCUAUGGUCAUGGUCUUAAUUAAACUAAUCGAUGUGGGAAGUACCAGUCCACUAUGGGCAGCACAAUUCCCUAGGCAGGAGGUCUUGCAUUGCAUAAGAGUGGAGAAGCUGAGCCGAUCACCAGGAAGCAUGCAUUCAUUUUUCUCUACUUUUGACUGUGGAUGUGAUAUGACUAGCUGUUUUAAGCUCCGGCUAGUCCGGCUUCCCUGCUAUGAUGUAUUAUAACCCCGGCGCCAUGAGCAAAAACAAACCCUUUCUCCCCUAAAUUGCCUUUUGUCAGAUUAUUUAUCCCUCCCAGCAACCAACAUGAAACUAGAAAGGGAUGGGGAGUGUGACCUCUGAAAAGUCACGUGACCAUGUGACUACAUUGCCAGGCAUUGGACACUGGGUUGGUUCUAUGGUGGUCAGGGUCUUCAGUUGGUCCCCACAACAGCAUGAAGAGACAGAGCUCUCUGAUACUUUUUGCCGCCAGAGAGGUUCCCUUGUGAAUUCUAACCAGAGUCAUGCAAGACCCAGAACAAGCAGAGCCGACAAGAAGACCCGCCCUACGGCUGCACUGGAAACAGUAAUCCUUCCAUUGGAAUACCUCUCAGCUCAGGGGCCGUACAUCACUAAAUGCUGCCCCUCCUGGACACCCUGCACCAAGCCAGGGUUC
Long non-coding RNA from Arvicola amphibius (Eurasian water vole), 1562 nucleotides. RefSeq lists it as uncharacterized. NCBI's taxonomy places the organism in Eukaryota, Metazoa, Chordata, Mammalia, Rodentia, Cricetidae. The transcript has 4 exons. The record is from RefSeq and is a predicted model, not a curated record.